Rattus rattus (black rat) is the source of this 143-nucleotide small nucleolar RNA. RefSeq annotates it as small nucleolar RNA SNORA48. NCBI's taxonomy places the organism in Eukaryota, Metazoa, Chordata, Mammalia, Rodentia, Muridae. The transcript has a single exon. The record is from RefSeq and is a predicted model, not a curated record.
CCCCCUUGGCAAUGGGCAAAGAGACACCUUGUUGGUGAUGUUGUUCUUACAUCAGUCAGGGACAGAGCAGACGACAGUCCUUUGUUCAUCCUAGCUUGAUGCCUGGCUUGAUGUCCAAAGCUGUCUUUGCCCAGGACACAGAA